GACUCCUUGGCAAUUUGUUGUUUGUUGUUCUUGUUGUGUGCUUGGAAGUUGAUGUAAGUCCAUCGAGUGGCAUUCGGGUUCCAGUGUGGUUUUGUUUGGUUCGGAUGCUGAUGUAAGUCCAGUGAUUGGCAGUCGGGCUCCACGUUUGCCCCUUUGUGUUUGUUGGGUUCGGAUGCUGAUGUAAGUCCAGUGAUUGGCAGUCGGGCUCCACGUUUGCCCUUUUGUGUGUGUUUUGGUUCGGAUGCUGAUGUAAGUCCAGUGAUUGGCAGUCGGGCUCCAUGUUUGCCACCUUUUUGUGUGUAGGUGUCUUGUUUUGUUUGGCGUG
RNAcentral lists this long non-coding RNA (325 nucleotides) under Lathyrus oleraceus (garden pea). Its description in RNAcentral is "Pisum sativum (pea) long non-coding RNA (PSAT_LNC023724)". The record is from RNAcentral. Lineage: Eukaryota; Viridiplantae; Streptophyta; Magnoliopsida; Fabales; Fabaceae.